GAUGAACGCUGGCGGCGUGCCUAAUACAUGCAAGUCGAGCGAACGGACGAGAAGCUUGCUUCUCUGAUGUUAGCGGCGGACGGGUGAGUAACACGUGGAUAACCUACCUAUAAGACUGGGAUAACUUCGGGAAACCGGAGCUAAUACCGGAUAAUAUUUUGAACCGCAUGGUUCAAAAGUGAAAGACGGUCUUGCUGUCACUUAUAGAUGGAUCCGCGCUGCAUUAGCUAGUUGGUAAGGUAACGGCUUACCAAGGCAACGAUGCAUAGCCGACCUGAGAGGGUGAUCGGCCACACUGGAACUGAGACACGGUCCAGACUCCUACGGGAGGCAGCAGUAGGGAAUCUUCCGCAAUGGGCGAAAGCCUGACGGAGCAACGCCGCGUGAGUGAUGAAGGUCUUCGAAUCGUAAAACUCUGUUAUGAGGGAAGAACAUAUGUGUAAGUAACUGUGCACAUCUUGACGGUACCUAAUCAGAAAGCCACGGCUAACUACGUG
Molecule: ribosomal RNA, 497 nt
Filed under: uncultured bacterium
Lineage: Bacteria
Description: partial 16S ribosomal RNA
Rfam family: Bacterial small subunit ribosomal RNA
Source: RNAcentral